RNAcentral lists this transfer RNA (73 nucleotides) under Stegodyphus dumicola. Its description in RNAcentral is "tRNA-Thr". It matches the Rfam family "tRNA". From Rfam's summary of the family: Transfer RNA (tRNA) molecules are approximately 80 nucleotides in length. Their secondary structure includes four short double-helical elements and three loops (D, anti-codon, and T loops). Further hydrogen bonds mediate the characteristic L-shaped molecular structure. tRNAs have two regions of fundamental functional importance: the anti-codon, which is responsible for specific mRNA codon recognition, and the 3' end, to which the tRNAs corresponding amino acid is attached (by aminoacyl-tRNA synthetases). tRNAs cope with the degeneracy of the genetic code in two manners: having more than one tRNA (with a specific anti-codon) for a particular amino acid; and 'wobble' base-pairing, i.e. permitting non-standard base-pairing at the 3rd anti-codon position. Lineage: Eukaryota; Metazoa; Arthropoda; Arachnida; Araneae; Eresidae. The record is from RNAcentral.
GCCUUCGUAGUGUAGUGGUCAGCACGCUCGACGCGUAUUCGAGAGGUCCGUGGUUCGAGUCCUGGCGAGGGCU